ACAGAAGAAGCACCGGCUAACUCCGUGCCAGCAGCCGCGGUAAUACGGAGGGUGCGAGCGUUAAUCGGAAUUACUGGGCGUAAAGCGCAUGCAGGUGGUUUGUUAAGUCAGAUGUGAAAGCCCGGGGCUCAACCUCGGAAUUGCAUUUGAAACUGGCAGACUAGAGUACUGUAGAGGGGGGUAGAAUUUCAGGUGUAGCGGUGAAAUGCGUAGAGAUCUGAAGGAAUACCGGUGGCGAAGGCGGCCCCCUGGACAGAUACUGACACUCAGAUGCGAAAGCGUGGGGAGCAAACAGGAUUAGAUACCCUGGUAGUCCACGCUGUAAACGAUGUCUACUUGGAGGUUGUGGCCUAGAGCCGUGGCUUUCGGAGCUAACGCGUUAAGUAGACCGCCUGGGGAGUACGGUCGCAAGAUUAAAACUCAAAUGAAUUGACGGGGGCCCGCACAAGCGGUGGAGCAUGUGGUUUAAUUCGAUGCAACGCGAAGAACCUUACCUACUCUUGACAUCCAGAGAAUCCAGCGGAGACGCUGGAGUGCCUUCGGGAACU
Molecule: ribosomal RNA, 548 nt
Filed under: Vibrio vulnificus
Lineage: Bacteria; Pseudomonadati; Pseudomonadota; Gammaproteobacteria; Vibrionales; Vibrionaceae
Description: bacterial SSU rRNA
Rfam family: Bacterial small subunit ribosomal RNA
Source: RNAcentral